GACGAACGCUGGCGGCGUGCUUAACACAUGCAAGUCGAACGGAAAGGCCCUGCUUUUGUGGGGUGCUCGAGUGGCGAACGGGUGAGUAACACGUGAGUAACCUGCCCUUGACUUUGGGAUAACUUCAGGAAACUGGGGCUAAUACCGGAUAGGAGCUCCUGCUGCAUGGUGGGGGUUGGAAAGUUUCGGCGGUUGGGGAUGGACUCGCGGCUUAUCAGCUUGUUGGUGGGGUAGUGGCUUACCAAGGCUUUGACGGGUAGCCGGCCUGAGAGGGUGACCGGCCACAUUGGGACUGCGAUACGGCCCAGACUCCUACGGGAGGCAGCAGUGGGGAAUAUUGCACAAUGGGCGGAAGCCUGAUGCAGCAACGCCGCGUUCGGGAUGACGGCCUUCGGGUUGUAAACCGCUUUCGCCUGUGACGAAGCGUGAGUGACGGUAAUGGGUAAAGAAGCACCGGCUAACUACGUG
This 468-nucleotide ribosomal RNA is filed under the name uncultured bacterium. Its description in RNAcentral is "partial 16S ribosomal RNA". It matches the Rfam family "Bacterial small subunit ribosomal RNA", at positions 28 to 507 of the family's 1533-position model. The record is from RNAcentral.